CUUUAUCUCCAGGACCCGCCCCGAGGGCUCGCCCCGCCCCCACCAUGGACUCCACCGCCUGGGAAACCCCAUUUUUCUCGCCAAACCAGCUGUUCUCUAGCAACAGCUCUCCUUUUGUAGGUCUGUGCCCCUGUGGUGCCAGGACAACCAAGUAUCCUGCCCUCACAGUGAACAGCUGAGGGAACCUUCAGAAGACCCAGUCACACACCCCUUCCUUGAAGGAGUUGCGGGCAUUAGCAGGCCCCAGCAUCUCACUGGACAUGGGGAGGACAAGGAAAUACAACUAAUAAGCAAGGUGGUACACACCUAUGCUCUCAGAACUCAGGCUGCUGAGACUGUACAGUAAGCCGAGGACAGCUUGGGCUACAUACACAGACCCUGUCUCACAAGAGGAAAUUGGAGGACCACUUCUGCCCACCCACACAGGACAAUAUAUUUGCUGAGGAUUGAACAGAUAAACGGGUCCCUUUGCUUGAA
Molecule: long non-coding RNA, 477 nt
Organism: Mastomys coucha (southern multimammate mouse)
Lineage: Eukaryota; Metazoa; Chordata; Mammalia; Rodentia; Muridae
Exons: 2
Source: RefSeq, a predicted model, not a curated record